This is a small nuclear RNA of Tupaia belangeri (northern tree shrew), 107 nucleotides long. Lineage: Eukaryota; Metazoa; Chordata; Mammalia; Scandentia; Tupaiidae. The record is from Ensembl.
AUGCUCACUUCAGCAGCACAUAUACUAAAAUUGGAACGAUACAGAGAAGAUUAGCAUGGCCCCUGUGCAAGGAAUAAUAAUAAUAAUUGUACAUUAAAUAUAUAUUU